UUUAUUUGAAGAAAUUGCGAACGUUAUUUUCUUUUUCAACUCUUGAGCUCUUUUUCGUGUCAAUGUUGCUCAAAAGCAGAUCGACCGAUAAAACAGAAAUUUGUUAAAUGGGAAAUAGAAGAUAUGAAAAAAAAUCUUUCAGUUUCUCUAAAUUUGUUCAGUAAAUCGAAUUUUCGAGGUUUUGUUGACCUCCUGCCGAUUGCAAUCGAGUACUCUCGCUUUUCAGAUGUGACCUCUCGACUCAAGGUCAACAACGCGCGUAGUGUAUGUCAUUUUCGGGUGUGUAUGGAACUAUCGGCUUUGCGUUGUUAAACACGCUGUAAAUAAACAAUUUUGACCUUGUUUGAACGGGAAUUAAAUAAAUCUUAAAAGACCUGGUAAGCUCUGUUGGUAGUGCGCUGGACUAGAUAUCCGAGGAUAGCGUUUGAGAUCGCCUGCCUGGCCUUCAUGCAGCUAUUCCCUCCCUACCCUUGAUACAAGUGCAGUUUAAGUGAAUGACAUAAAUAUGUGCACUUAGUACUGGUUCACUAGCUUCACUCAAGCUAAAUGUAAAAAGCGCUUCGGCAGAAUGGCAGAAGAGGUGUCAACACCUUCCAGUAGCCGGAAGAAAGUAAAAAGACUACCAUCUAAGUAAAAUAGUGUGCUGCCUCAGCACUUAAAAAUGGAAGAUCAAUAAGCAUUGCUUGGCCUAUAUUUAUAUAAGCAUGAUUUUUAACACUACGGGCUGAGGGAGCCUUGGCAAGCUUUGUUGCUUAUUGGGGAUUUUUUCCUGGAGUUUGGAUGGCUUUCUUUUUUAAAAAGCCACUUCCUGGCUUAUAUGAAUGUAAAACGUGUUUAAGAAUUUCAAACAAAAUCAUGCACCAUUUCCUGGAAGUAUAAAAUGAAAUUUGAAAUGUAUGUCGCUUCCUGGAAGAAUAAAAUGAAAUUUCAAAUGUAUGUCGUUUUGAAGAUUUGGGGUAAUUGGCUUUCACUCAGGACAGGGCUCUUCACGACCGAUAGACAGCUGGAUUUUAAUUUGGAUUUAAUGCAUAUCAGAUAAAAAAAAUCUGAAAAUCAGGUUAAAGUGAAAGUCAAUUUACUAAAAAUAAAUCAAGUUGGUUAUUUUUAAUCAUCAGAUAACGUAUACGUGUAUUGUGCAUCGGCUGUGUCUUAUAGGAUUUUAACUAGCAUUUUAGUAAAGAGUAUUUAGAUAAAUAUUGUUCUUUGUUCUUUUUAAACUCAUCUUGUCUCUGAGAUCAACUACAUGCUUUAAUGAUGACUUACAGAAUCAUUGUUUUCAAAUAUUACACUAGCUUAUAAAUCUUAACCCUAAGUAUCAAAAUUACACAUGUUAUUGGAUACUUAGGGCUUGAUUUUGCAACAAAGAUGCAGUCGGUUUUCUUCUUUAGCCAAGUGUCCAUAACAAUAAAUUUUCUAAAUCUGCUGCUUAAUACUGAGAUAAUUUAUUUGCUUGGGGAAUUGUUUUUCAGUGACUGGCGUUUUGUAAUUUAUAAAACCUUUACAAGGCAUUGUUAUUAAAACCAUCAUAAAAAUUAACCGUUAGGUUCAAGCAAGCCCAAGUUCUUAUACUACAACUUGGGGAAUACAAGGAUAUUAUACGCCUGCCAUCCAAAUAAACUUGAGCCAUGUUAGAAUUAACUAGCACAGUUCCUACUGACUGGUACUUAUUGUGACCACUGUAAGGUUAACUGGUUCAAUUCACCUCUUGGUUUUGCAGUAAAAUUUCAUGUUGAUGCACUAAAGCAUUAUUAUGCUCAGAAUGCAACCUUCAGGUGGGGGCAAAAUGUAAUGUUUGAACCUUAUUACUUUAAUUAUCCCAAAAUGUGAGAGGCCAGAAUUUCAAAAUAAGUCCCGUUUGAUGCUGCUAAGGCAGCUAUGUAUUGUUCUAUGUAAAUUAUUUAUAUAAAAAAAAAAAACCUUUGUAUGUAUUUUUAUAUGUCUGAUAUUGUUUUUGUAGUUGAAAUCCAAGAAUAAUUCGAUUGCCUGUACGAGUUUGUCCAAGAGGUUAAAGAACACUUUGCAGUUAUUGACAAAAUUAGAAAAAGUAAAACAUAUCAUUCUAGAAAUUUGGAAUGUUCAUUAUUGUUGGAAUACUAGUUGAUGUGCUUACCUUUUCUUAAGCUGUCAAAUUAUUUGAAUGUAUUAAAAGUUAGUUUUUUGUUUAAAAAAAGUUUUCAUUACAAAAUGUUUUGUCAAUUUACAAUGUUUGUGUGCUCCCUGUAUUGUGGCAUAUAGCAGUACAUCCGUCCGACAUUCCGUUUCCACACUUUUUUCCUCAACUCUGUUAAAUAUUUACCUGAUUUUUGGUUUGUGAGUCUACCUGCCUUAGUUACAGAUGUACGAGUUGUGUUAUAGUACAUGGUAAACUAAUGCAAGCCAUUAUAACAUCAUACUACACUAUUUAAAAAAAUCAUGUCUUAUUCCCUUUUUCAAAAAGGCAAAAUGCCUUUCUUCCACUCCUUUGUCAUAUAUAGAGGACUCUUUGUGGAAAAAAUAUAACAAAUUGACUUUAAAGGGGAUGCCGAAUACUAAGUAUAGUAUACAUAUGUCUUUGUGAUGGAUUAAUAUUUUAUUUACGUUUUAAAUUAAAACUGGAAUAUAUUUCUUUAAAAUAAACAAAACUGAAUUGAUA
Long non-coding RNA from Dreissena polymorpha, 2632 nucleotides. RefSeq lists it as uncharacterized. Lineage: Eukaryota; Metazoa; Mollusca; Bivalvia; Myida; Dreissenidae. The transcript is spliced from 3 exons. The record is from RefSeq and is a predicted model, not a curated record.